AUACAUGAAUAAUCUGCCCCUUUGUUUGGGAUAACAGUUUGAAAAGACUGCUAAUACCGAAUAGGUAAUCUAAAGGCAUCUUAUGAUUAUUAAAGGUGGGUUUCCAUCGCAUUGGGAUGAGUUCAUGCCGCAUUAGUUAGGUUGGUAGGGUAACGGCCCACCAAAGCUAAGAUGUGUAGCCGACCUGAGAGAGUGAUCGGCCACAUUGGGACUGAGACACGGCCCAGACUCUACGGGAGGCAGCAGUAGGGAAUCUUGCGCAAUGGGCGAAAGCCUGACGCAGCGACGCCGCGUGCGGGAUGAAGGCCUUAGGGUUGUAAACCGCUUUCAGCAGGGACGAGGCCGCAAGGUGACGGUACCUGCAGAAGAAGCCCCGGCUAACUACGUGCCAGCAGCCGCGGUAAUACGUAGGGGGCAAGCGUUAUCCGGAUUCAUUGGGCGUAAAGCGCGCGUAGGCGGUCUGUUAGGUCGGGAGUUAAAUCCGGGGGCUCAACCCCCGUCCGCUCCCGAUACCGGCAGACUUGAGUUUGGUAGGGGAAGGCGGAAUUCCAAGUGUAGCGGUGGAAUGCGCAGAUAUUUGGAAGAACACCGGUGGCGAAGGCGGCCUUCUGGGCCACAACUGACGCUGAGGCGCGAAAGCUAGGGGAGCGAACAGGAUUAGAUACCCUGGUAGUCCUAGCCGUAAACGAUGGACACUAGGUGUGGGGGGAAGUGCCCUCCGUGCCGCAGCUAACGCAUUAAGUGUCCCGCCUGGGGAGUACGGCCGCAAGGCUAAAACUCAAAGGAAUUGACGGGGGCCCGCACAAGCAGCGGAGCAUGUGGCUUAAUUCGACGCAACGCGAAGAACCUUACCAGGUCUUGACAUCCAGUUAACUUGUAGAGAUACAAGGUGUGCUGCACAAG
RNAcentral lists this ribosomal RNA (903 nucleotides) under uncultured bacterium. RNAcentral describes it as "bacterial SSU rRNA". It matches the Rfam family "Bacterial small subunit ribosomal RNA", at positions 113 to 1029 of the family's 1533-position model. The record is from RNAcentral.